AUUUCAGAUAAAUUGACAUUGCGUGCAAUCAUACAUACAUCCGCAAUAUGCCAGAGGUAUUUUAUUAUUAAUACGAAUCACAUGACAUAUUCUCAUCCGUUUAGUAUAUAAACGAAGAACAUCCAAUAUCGUUCUCAUAAAACUAAAACUAUUCCAAUAUCAUACAUCACCACAAACUCAAUUUCAACCGUUUUAUUAAAAUGUGGAAAAUUACAAUUUCCAUACUGUUUAUCACGCUUGCAUUGUGCGUUUUAAACGUUCAAAGUAAUCAAUGUACUAAUACUUGCAUCGGUGUGAGCAAUUGCAUACCGGUGCCGAGUAACUGUCGGGAAAUUGGUGGCGCCGUAGAAAAUUACCCGGAAUGUGCGUGUUGUCCAUCAUGUGUAUACAGAGUUGAUGAUGGUGAAUAUUGUGGGUAUAAUUCUACCGUUAAUGCGCUGCAAGUUUGUGAGUGUGGAUCUAAAUGCACAAAUUUAAAAGAUGGCGGUGUUUGUGUGCAAGAUUCAGAAUCUGAUUGCGAUUCUAGUUCAAGCUACAGUUCAUUUAGUUCUGAAUCAGAAUCAGAUUCAGAUACAAGUUCUGACUCAAAUACAAAUUAAUGAAAAGUAAUUUGAUUUCUGACAAAAUUCUGCAAUCAUAAAUAAAAUAAAAGCAAAUA
Long non-coding RNA from Dalotia coriaria, 658 nucleotides. RefSeq lists it as uncharacterized. Lineage: Eukaryota; Metazoa; Arthropoda; Insecta; Coleoptera; Staphylinidae. The record is from RefSeq and is a predicted model, not a curated record. The transcript is spliced from 2 exons.